This 429-nucleotide ribosomal RNA is filed under the name Gemmatimonadota bacterium. RNAcentral describes it as "Gemmatimonadetes bacterium partial 16S ribosomal RNA". It matches the Rfam family "Bacterial small subunit ribosomal RNA", at positions 355 to 776 of the family's 1533-position model. The record is from RNAcentral. Lineage: Bacteria; Pseudomonadati; Gemmatimonadota.
UAGGGAAUCUUCGGCAAUGGACGAAAGUCUGACCGAGCAACGCCGCGUGAGUGAAGAAGGUUUUCGGAUCGUAAAACUCUGUUGUUAGAGAAGAACAAGGACGUUAGUAACUGAACGUCCCCUGACGGUAUCUAACCAGAAAGCCACGGCUAACUACGUGCCAGCAGCCGCGGUAAUACGUAGGUGGCAAGCGUUGUCCGGAUUUAUUGGGCGUAAAGCGAGCGCAGGCGGGUUCUUAAGUCUGAUGUGAAAGCCCCCGGCUCAACCAGGGAGGGUCAUUGGAAACUGGGAGACUUGAGUGCAGAAGAGGAGGGUGGAGUUCCAUCUGUAGCGGUGAAAUGCGUAGAUAUAUGGAGGAACACCGGUGGCGAAGGCGGCUCUCUGGACUGUAACUGACGCUGAGUAUCGAAAGCGUGGGGAGCAAACGGA